UCCCUCCCUCUUUUGAGGUCUACACAUUUCAGGAAAGUGAUCCUAGAAGAAACUGAAGCGCCAGCAGUGCGAAUAUCUAGAGACACCUACGUGACUCAUGUGUGGAAGAAGAAGAGGGAGCAAUGAUCCCAGGAUGUAAACACUGCGAAACUGAGGUCCAUAACCACAGAGUGACUUCUGCAGACUUCAAGCUAAGCAGCAACUAUGAGUAUCCUUUUCACAGCUGAUUUCCAGUGACUGAUGAAUGCAUUGUACCCACAAAGAUGUGUUAAAUCAAUGCUCUUGAGAGAAUGGAAG
Long non-coding RNA from Odocoileus virginianus texanus, 297 nucleotides. RefSeq lists it as uncharacterized. Lineage: Eukaryota; Metazoa; Chordata; Mammalia; Artiodactyla; Cervidae. The record is from RefSeq and is a predicted model, not a curated record.